GACGAACGCUGGCGGCGUGCUUAACACAUGCAAGUCGAACGGAAAGGCCCUGCUUUUGUGGGGUGCUCGAGUGGCGAACGGGUGAGUAACACGUGAGUAACCUGCCCUUGACUUUGGGAUAACUUCAGGAAACUGGGGCUAAUACCGGAUAGGAGCUCCUGCUGCAUGGUGGGGGUUGGAAAGUUUCGGCGGUUGGGGAUGGACUCGCGGCUUAUCAGCUUGUUGGUGGGGUAGUGGCUUACCAAGGCUUUGACGGGUAGCCGGCCUGAGAGGGUGACCGGCCACAUUGGGACUGAGAUACGGCCCAGACUCCUACGGGAGGCAGCAGUGGGGAAUAUUGCACAAUGGGCGGAAGCCUGAUGCAGCAACGCCGCGUGCGGGAUGACGGCCUUCGGGUUGUAAACCGCUUUCGCCCGUGACGAAGCGUGAGUGACGGUAAUGGGUAAAGAAGCACCGGCUAACUACGUGCCAGCAGCCGCGGUGAUACGUAGGGUGCGAGCGUUGUCCGGAUUUAUUGGGCGUAAAGGGCUCGUAGGUGGUUGAUCGCGUCGGAAGUGUAAUCUUGGGGCUUAACCCUGAGCGUGCUUUCGAUACGGGUUGACUUGAGGAAGGUAGGGGAGAAAUGGAAUUCCUGGGGGAGCGGUGGAAUGCGCAGAUAUCAGGAGGAACACCAGUGGCGAAGGCGGUUCUCUGGGCCUUUCCUGACGCUGAGGAGCGAAAGCGUGGGGAGCGAACAGGCUUAGAUACCUGGGUAGUCCACGCUGUAAACGGUGGGUACUAGGUGUGGGGUCCAUUCCACGGGUUCCGCGCCGUAGCUAACGCUUUAAGUACCCCGCCUGGGGAGUACGGCCGCAAGGCUAAAACUCAAAGGAAUUGACGGGGCCCCGCACAAGCGGCGGAGCAUGCGGAUUAAUUCGAUGCAACGCGUAGAACCUUACCUGGGUUUGACAUGGAUCGGGAGUGCUCAGAGAUGGGUGUGCCUCUUUUGGGGUCGGUUCACAGGUGGUGCAUGGCUGUCGUCAGCUCGUGUCGUGAGAUGUUGGGUUAAGUCCCGCAACGAGCGCAACCCUUGUUCACUGUUGCCAGCACGUUAUGGUGGGGACUCAGUGGAGACCGCCGGGGUCAACUCGGAGGAAGGUGGGGAUGACGUCAAGUCAUCAUGCCCCUUAUGUCCAGGGCUUCACGCAUGCUACAAUGGCUGGUACAGAGAGUGGCGAGCCUGUGAGGGUGAGCGAAUCUCGGAAAGCCGGUCUCAGUUCGGAUUGGGGUCUGCAACUCGACCUCAUGAAGUCGGAGUCGCUAGUAAUCGCAGAUCAGCAACGCUGCGGUGAAUACGUUCCCGGGGCU
RNAcentral lists this ribosomal RNA (1347 nucleotides) under uncultured bacterium. Its description in RNAcentral is "partial 16S ribosomal RNA". It matches the Rfam family "Bacterial small subunit ribosomal RNA", at positions 28 to 1381 of the family's 1533-position model. The record is from RNAcentral.